This 465-nucleotide ribosomal RNA is filed under the name uncultured bacterium. RNAcentral describes it as "partial 16S ribosomal RNA". It matches the Rfam family "Bacterial small subunit ribosomal RNA", at positions 28 to 507 of the family's 1533-position model. The record is from RNAcentral.
GACGAACGCUGGCGGCGUGCUUAACACAUGCAAGUCGAACGGAAAGGCCCCUUUUGGGGUACACGAGUGGCGAACAGGUGAGUAAAACGUGAGUAACCUGCGCUCUACUUCUGGAUAACUUCAGGAAACUGUGGCUAAUACCGGAUAGGAAUCCUUGCUGCAUUGUGGGGGUUGGAAAGCUUCGGCGGUUUUGGAUGGACUCGCGGCUUAUCAGCUUGUUGGUGGGGUAGUGGCUUACCAAGGCUUUGACGGGUAGCCGGCCUGAGAGGGCGACCGGCCACAUUGGGACUGAGAUACGGCCCAGACUCCUACGGGAGGCAGCAGGGGGGAAUAUUGCACAAUGGGCGGAAGCCUGAUGCAGCAACGCCGCGUGCGGGAUGACGGCCUUCGGGUUGUAACCCGUUUUCCGCAGGGGCGAGGCUUGUGGUGACGGUACCUGCAGAAGAAGCACCGGCUAACUACGUG